AACCUUAUGGACCUGCGGGCGUAUACCUGCGGAGGGAUCAUUACAGAGAUUGAUGCACCAAGUGCAUCACCUCCAACCCCUUGCGAAAACAACUAUCAUGUGUUGCUUUGGCAGUGUUUCCACUGCCAGAGGUUUACAUAAAAUCAGCUGUUUGGAUGUUGUCUGAGUAAACCAUGUGAAUUAUUUAAAACUUUCAACAACGGAUCU
Molecule: unclassified non-coding RNA, 207 nt
Filed under: soil metagenome
Description: partial contains 5.8S ribosomal RNA, internal transcribed spacer 2, and large subunit ribosomal RNA
Source: RNAcentral